UCCCUGGUAGUCCAGUGGCUAAGACUGCACUCUCAAUGCAGGGAACCUGGGUUCGAUCCCCAGUCAGGGAA
Molecule: transfer RNA, 71 nt
Filed under: Bos taurus (domestic cattle)
Lineage: Eukaryota; Metazoa; Chordata; Mammalia; Artiodactyla; Bovidae
Also listed under: 2 other names
Rfam family: tRNA
About the family: Transfer RNA (tRNA) molecules are approximately 80 nucleotides in length.
Source: Rfam by way of RNAcentral